RNAcentral lists this ribosomal RNA (433 nucleotides) under uncultured bacterium. RNAcentral's name for it is "partial 16S ribosomal RNA". It matches the Rfam family "Bacterial small subunit ribosomal RNA", at positions 29 to 507 of the family's 1533-position model. The record is from RNAcentral.
AGCGAACGCUGGCGGCAGACCUAACACAUGCAAGUCGAACGAACUCUUCGGAGUUAGUGGCGGACGGGUGAGUAACACGUGGGAACGUGCCUUUAGGUUCGGAAUAACUCAGGGAAACUUGUGCUAAUACCGAAUGUGCCCUUCGGGGGAAAGAUUUAUCGCCUUUAGAGCGGCCCGCGUCUGAUUAGCUAGUUGGUGAGGUAAAGGCUCACCAAGGCGACGAUCAGUAGCUGGUCUGAGAGGAUGAUCAGCCACAUUGGGACUGAGACACGGCCCAAACUCCUACGGGAGGCAGCAGUGGGGAAUCUUGCGCAAUGGGCGAAAGCCUGACGCAGCCAUGCCGCGUGAAUGAUGAAGGUCUUAGGAUUGUAAAAUUCUUUCACCGGGGACGAUAAUGACGGUACCCGGAGAAGAAGCCCCGGCUAACUUCGUG